CAUCGCUUGACGGAGCGCGAGUAAUAACUCGCUGAGAUCACCUAAAACAUUGUUUUGAUGGUGAGUACCGUUGAACCUGAUCAGGUUAAUACCUGCGUAGGAAUCAAGCCAUCUAAAAAC
RNAcentral lists this non-coding RNA (120 nucleotides) under Acinetobacter sp. RNAcentral describes it as "TPP sequence". It matches the Rfam family "TPP riboswitch aptamer (THI element)". Rfam says of the family: Vitamin B(1) in its active form thiamin pyrophosphate (TPP) is an essential coenzyme that is synthesised by coupling of pyrimidine and thiazole moieties in bacteria. The previously detected thiamin-regulatory element, thi box was extended, resulting in a new, highly conserved RNA secondary structure, the THI element, which is widely distributed in eubacteria and also occurs in some archaea. Analysis of operon structures identified a large number of new candidate thiamin-regulated genes, mostly transporters, in various prokaryotic organisms. The record is from RNAcentral. Lineage: Bacteria; Pseudomonadati; Pseudomonadota; Gammaproteobacteria; Moraxellales; Moraxellaceae.